GGAGUUUGGGCCGUGUCUCAGUCCCAAUGUGGCCGUACACCCUCUCAGGCCGGCUACUGAUCGUCGCCUUGGUGGGCCGUUACCUCACCAACUAGCUAAUCAGACGCGGGUCCAUCUCACACCACCGGAGUUUUUCACACUGUACCAUGCGGUACUGUGCGCUUAUGCGGUAUUAACAGUCGUUUCCAACUGUUAUCCCCCUGUGUGAGGCAGGUUACCCACGCGUUACUCACCCGUCCGCCACUAAGUAUUCCAAAGAAUCUCUCCGAGCAAGCUCUUCGAUCUUCCGAAGGAAUACUCCGUUCGACUUGCAUGUGUUAAGCACGCCGCCAGCGUUUAUC
Molecule: ribosomal RNA, 341 nt
Filed under: uncultured Coprococcus sp.
Lineage: Bacteria; Bacillati; Bacillota; Clostridia; Lachnospirales; Lachnospiraceae
Description: partial 16S ribosomal RNA
Source: RNAcentral